CAGUCGCCACGGGAAUACGGAGGGGGCUAGCGUUGUUCGGAAUUACUGGGCGUAAAGCGCACGUAGGCUGCUUCGUAAGUUAGAGGUGAAAGCCUGGUGCUCAACACCAGAACUGCCUUUAAGACUGCAGAGCUAGAACGUCGGAGAGGUGAGUGGAAUUCCGAGUGUAGAGGUGAAAUUCGUAGAUAUUCGGAAGAACACCAGUGGCGAAGGCGGCUCACUGGACGACUGUUGACGCUGAGGUGCGAAAGCGUGGGGAGCAAACAGGAUUAGAUACCCCGGUAGUCCCUGUCUCUUAUAC
This 301-nucleotide ribosomal RNA is filed under the name uncultured bacterium. RNAcentral describes it as "partial 16S ribosomal RNA". It matches the Rfam family "Bacterial small subunit ribosomal RNA", at positions 509 to 807 of the family's 1533-position model. The record is from RNAcentral.